Molecule: non-coding RNA, 511 nt
Organism: Phascolarctos cinereus (koala)
Lineage: Eukaryota; Metazoa; Chordata; Mammalia; Diprotodontia; Phascolarctidae
Source: RefSeq, a predicted model, not a curated record
UCACUUAAAUCUGAUUCACUUGCAAGUCAAGACAUCCCCCUCUGAUGUCGCUGGUUCAGUGAGAAUGAAGGACGAACAACAGUAACAAAAGGUGAGGCAUAAAAAGCAAAAGAUAUAGCAAGGUUAUUUAGAGAACCCUCCGCACCAAUCUGAGGGAACCGAGGCAGAGAAAGCGCUGGAGUUGGCUUCCACUCAAGGACAUGCUGUUUCAGGGGCUGGUGAUGAUCCUCAUAAGACACAGGAGCUUGACUCAUGAUGACAUUGGAGCCAGGAUUGCAGGCAGGAUGGUACAGGCAGCCAGCUUGGCAUGGAAGCCCUAAGAAGCCAGGGAUGUGAGACUAGUGCCCAAGCAGGGUUUUGGUCUUAGAACUGGGACUGUGCUCCAUUGGCCUCGAGAUAAACUAUAAACCCAUUCUCCUGCCCUUUCCCAGAAACUGAGAUGGUUUAGGUGUGGAAGGAGGUUUAUGCCUCCCACAGGUUGGGGAAAUAAAUUUGUAUAUUUGUGAUUUUA